This 254-nucleotide ribosomal RNA is filed under the name uncultured bacterium. RNAcentral describes it as "partial 16S ribosomal RNA". It matches the Rfam family "Bacterial small subunit ribosomal RNA", at positions 524 to 777 of the family's 1533-position model. The record is from RNAcentral.
UACGUAGGGUGCAUGCGUUGUCCGGAAUUAUUGGGCGUAAAGAGCUCGUAGGCGGUUUGUCGCGUCUGCCGUGAAAGUCCGGGGCUCAACUCCGGAUCUGCGGUGGGUACGGGCAGACUAGAGUGAUGUAGGGGAGACUGGAAUUCCUGGUGUAGCGGUGAAAUGCGCAGAUAUCAGGAGGAACACCGAUGGCGAAGGCAGGUCUCUGGGCAUUAACUGACGCUGAGGAGCGAAAGCAUGGGGAGCGAACAGGA